CACGCUGUAAACGAUGUUCACUAGGUGUUGGGGGUAUUGACCCCCUCAGUGCCGCAGCUAACGCAUUAAGUGAACCGCCUGGGGAGUACGGUCGCAAGACUAAAACUCAAAGGAAUUGACGGGGGCCCGCACAAGCGGUGGAGCAUGUGGUUUAAUUCGAUGCAACGCGAAGAACCUUACCUGGGCUUGACAUCCCGAGAAUCCCCUUGAAAGAGGGGAGUGCCUUUCGGGGAACUCGGUGACAGGUGC
RNAcentral lists this ribosomal RNA (249 nucleotides) under uncultured Syntrophaceae bacterium. RNAcentral describes it as "partial 16S ribosomal RNA". It matches the Rfam family "Bacterial small subunit ribosomal RNA", at positions 796 to 1041 of the family's 1533-position model. The record is from RNAcentral. Lineage: Bacteria; Pseudomonadati; Thermodesulfobacteriota; Syntrophia; Syntrophales; Syntrophaceae.